RNAcentral lists this ribosomal RNA (464 nucleotides) under uncultured bacterium. Its description in RNAcentral is "bacterial SSU rRNA". It matches the Rfam family "Bacterial small subunit ribosomal RNA", at positions 331 to 792 of the family's 1533-position model. The record is from RNAcentral.
CCAGACUCCUACGGGAGGCAGCAGUGAGGAAUAUUGGUCAAUGGGCGGGAGCCUGAACCAGCCAAGUCGCGUGAGGGAUGACGGCCCUAUGGGUUGUAAACCUCUUUUGCCGGGGAGCAAAGUGCCGCACGUGUGCGGUUUGGAGAGUACCCGGAGAAAAAGCAUCGGCUAACUCCGUGCCAGCAGCCGCGGUAAUACGGAGGAUCCGAGCGUUAUCCGGAUUCAUUGGGUUUAAAGGGUGCGUAGGUUGUUUUAUAAGUUAGCGGUGAAAUACCGAUGCUCAACAUCGGGGCUGCCGCUAAUACUGUAGGACUAGAGAUCGGAUGCAGCAGGCGGAAUGUGUAGUGUAGCGGUGAAAUGCAUAGAUAUCGCGCAGAACUCCGAUUGCGAAGGCGGCAUGCCGGCUCCACACUGACGCUGAGGCACGAAAGCGUGGGUAUCGAACAGGAUUAGAUACCCCAGUA